CGCACAUUGCGCCCUCUGGUAUUCCGGGGGGCACGCCUGUUCGAGCGUCAUUUGAUCAAUCAAGCCCGGCUUGGUACUGGGCGCCGCCCGCGAGGGCCCGUCCGAAAUGCAGCGGCGCGAUCGUCCGGAGAAGAAUGCAUUGGAAAACUCCAUUCUUGCCUCUGCGGCGGUCGUUGCCUCGACCUCCAACUCUGAAAAUUGACCUCGGAUCAGGCGAGAUUACCCGCUGAACUUAA
Molecule: unclassified non-coding RNA, 236 nt
Filed under: Coenogonium luteum
Lineage: Eukaryota; Fungi; Ascomycota; Lecanoromycetes; Ostropales; Coenogoniaceae
Description: partial contains 5.8S ribosomal RNA, internal transcribed spacer 2, and large subunit ribosomal RNA
Source: RNAcentral